Molecule: long non-coding RNA, 359 nt
Filed under: Sorghum bicolor (sorghum)
Lineage: Eukaryota; Viridiplantae; Streptophyta; Magnoliopsida; Poales; Poaceae
Description: long non-coding RNA (SBIC_LNC000159)
Source: RNAcentral
GCGACGGAGGGGACGAAAGGGACGCCACGUCGUUUCAAAAAAGAAUCAUGGCAUGCGAGGCAACGGUCGCCUGUACUAUGGCCUUACUCCAAAAUCCAAAAAGUUUUCAAAAUUUCCUGUCACAUCGAAUCUUGCGGCACAUGCAUGAAGCAUUAAAUAUAGACGAAAACAAAAACUAAUUACACAGUUUGACUGUAAAUCACGAGAUGAAUCUUUUAAUCCUAGUUAGUAUAUGAUUGGACAAUAUUUACCACAAACAAACGAAAGUGCUACAGUUUCGAAAACUUUUCAGAUUUUCGGAACUAAACAAGGCUUAUUUCGGUACUGUAACACUUUCGUUUGUUUGUAACAAAUAUUAU